RNAcentral lists this ribosomal RNA (400 nucleotides) under Salmonella enterica subsp. enterica serovar Javiana. RNAcentral's name for it is "partial 23S ribosomal RNA". It matches the Rfam family "Bacterial large subunit ribosomal RNA", at positions 161 to 599 of the family's 2925-position model. Lineage: Bacteria; Pseudomonadati; Pseudomonadota; Gammaproteobacteria; Enterobacterales; Enterobacteriaceae. The record is from RNAcentral.
AAUCCAUAGGUUAAUGAGGCGAACCGGGGGAACUGAAACAUCUAAGUACCCCGAGGAAAAGAAAUCAACCGAGAUUCCCCCAGUAGCGGCGAGCGAACGGGGAGGAGCCCAGAGCCUGAAUCAGCAUGUGUGUUAGUGGAAGCGUCUGGAAAGGCGCGCGAUACAGGGUGACAGCCCCGUACACAAAAGCGCAUGUGCUGUGAGCUCGAUGAGUAGGGCGGGACACGUGGUAUCCUGUCUGAAUAUGGGGGGACCAUCCUCCAAGGCUAAAUACUCCUGACUGACCGAUAGUGAACCAGUACCGUGAGGGAAAGGCGAAAAGAACCCCGGCGAGGGGAGUGAAAAAGAACCUGAAACCGUGUACGUACAAGCAGUGGGAGCACCCUUUGGGGUGUGACUG